RNAcentral lists this ribosomal RNA (459 nucleotides) under uncultured bacterium. Its description in RNAcentral is "partial 16S ribosomal RNA". It matches the Rfam family "Bacterial small subunit ribosomal RNA", at positions 28 to 523 of the family's 1533-position model. The record is from RNAcentral.
GAUGAACGCUGGCGGUGUGCCUAAUACAUGCAAGUCGAGUGGUAAGGUCUCUUCGGAGAUACACGAGCGGCGGACGGGUGAGUAACGCGUAAGAAUGUACCCCAAAGUGAGGGAUAAGCACCAGAAACGGUGUCUAAUACCGCAUGUGCUCUUCGGAGUAAAGCUUCGGCGCUUUGGGAACAGCUUGCGUAUGAUUAGCUAGUUGGUAAGGUAAUGGCUUACCAAGGCGACGAUCAUUAGCGGGUCUGAGAGGAUGAUCCGCCACACUGGGACUGAGACACGGCCCAGACUCCUACGGGAGGCAGCAGUAGGGAAUUUUCCACAAUGGGGGCAACCCUGAUGGAGCAACACCGCGUGCAGGAUGAAGGCCUUCGGGUUGUAAACUGCUUUUGUCUGUGACGAAUAUGACGGUAGCAGACGAAUAAGGAUCGGCUAACUACGUGCCAGCAGCCGCAGUAA